Molecule: long non-coding RNA, 1526 nt
Filed under: Canis lupus familiaris (dog)
Lineage: Eukaryota; Metazoa; Chordata; Mammalia; Carnivora; Canidae
Description: lncRNA (ENSCAFG00845012051.1)
Source: RNAcentral
UUUUUUUUUUUUUUGCCUUUCCCUAAGGCUUUUAUAUUGACAGUUAAUUAAAUCUGGAUUUCCACUAGGUCAAUCUGUUUCAGGAAACAGAAAAGUCAAAAAGAGCAAAGAACUUAAAGUCUCCCUUGAUAAGUCCUAAUUAGCUGGCCAAUCACAAAUCAUCCUAGUGUUUAAGCUAAUAACUAAGCCAAGGUAUGAUUUCAUGCAAAGUUUUAACAGGACAUAUUCAAAAUAAGACAGAGAAGAGGAUAUCCAUAAAGAUGAAUUGAGGAAAGGUCAGCUUGAUUCAAAGGUGCAUCCAUUUGAGCACUCCACUACCACUAAAGCUCAGUUACACAUACACAUGCACACACACUAGCAUGUGCACACACAAAAACAUGUGCACACAUGCAUACACAUGCCCAAACACCUGGAAGCACAGACACAUACUUGCAAAGGCACAUACACAGGUAUAAUACUGAUAUCUAACUGCACAUGCCCAUAUAAACACACAUGACAUGCACACACAUGCACAUGGAUGCACACUUCCAUCUUACCUCCCAAACAAAAUUCUAAGUUUCAUAAGGCUAGUACGUGGUCCUCUACUUGUGAAUUUCCCCAACACUUGGCACUGGGCUAAGCCCACAUUAAGUACUCAACAAAUACAAGUUAACUCAAAAUGUUUACAUAAUUUUCUACAUUGGUAUGUCUAAAUUUACUAACCAUUUGACCUUCUUUAUACAACUUAAUAUCUUGUUUUUCCCAAACGAAAACUGAAUGACCCCUACUUUUCUCAUAGAGUUACAGCAGUGGUCAAAGCUGAUGAUCCUUGAGCUCAUGCACUUUUCUAAAGGGAAAUGCAAGCUUGACAAAUGUUCACAACCUCAUAAAAUGCUAUAUAUAAUAAGACUGGAGACAAAAAGAAUGUUCAUCAAGAGAGGUGGAACAAUCUCUGAAGCAGGAAGUGUAGAUUUUCUUUUCUGAAAAGAGUAGGUUCACUUUGUUUCCUUUUUGGCUUUUAUGUGUUUAAAGAUAAUGCUGAUUUGACUUUACUAUUCCAUGUUACAGUAUCAUACUAAUUGCUCUUAAGGAAAGAAUAAAUAGAAAGUGGCACAGUUAUUGCAGACAUUUCAAACCUAUGAAUGGAUUUCCAUGUUAAUAGAAAGCAAAAACAAUCCUCAAAUUGAGGCUUAAAGACACAUGAGACAUGACAUUAAGCCUGAUCCACUAGUACAUCUAAGCACUUCAAGGCUACUUGAUAUAUUUGAAGCAGAAUGUUUUAUCAUAAAGCUGUAUUUUUCAUACUCUUAUACAUUAUGGCCCUGUAGUAGGAAGAAUAAUGCUCCCCACCAAAAUGUCUAUACUCUAAUAAUCAGACCUUGAAUACAUGAGGCUAAAUUCAGGACCCAAAAAAGUAACAAACAAAACAUGCAUCUUUAUCCAACAAGCACAUUAUAGGACUGUCUUCUCUCUCCUAAGGUUCUCUUAAUAUUCCCUCUGAGAACAUGUGGCUCCCAAUUUUUUUUUGUAGUCUUCAACACUGAGAU